AGAGACACACAGAGAGAGAGAGAAAGAGAGAGAGAGGCAGAGACACAGGCAGGAGAGGCAGGCUCCCUGCGGGGAGCCCACUGAGAGACUAGAUCUCAGGAUCCCAAGAUCAAGACCUGAGCCAAAGGCAGAUGCUCAACCACUGAACCACCCAGGUGCCCUGAAUUCUUUUCUCAAAAGAUAUUAAGCGCCAUAGGAGAAGAAAAAUAAGAGGACUUCCAUGCUGGAAGGUAACAUUAUUUGCUUGAGGAAGAGGACUUCUGCGGAAAACAAAUGAGAAAAAAUAUAACUGCAAAUGUUGAUGAGUUGAUGCACAAAAGUAGAUGAGUAGAACCCACACACCUUCACCAUGAAGUAAUGAAGUAUCAAGGUCUUAUUUUAAGCAUGAGAAGACUACAAAGGAUGAAAAGUCAAUAAAGGAAAUCUAUCCAGCAAUUUCAUAAAAAUUUUAAAGCUACUCCUAAAUUAUUUAUCCUGCAUGUCAUGAUUUAUAAAAAUAAAAACAAUUUAUAGAGGACAGAACUAUUAUGUACCAAUAUUUAUCAUCUAUUUUCUGCAUAUUUGGAUAAAGAAGAUGUGGUUUAUGCAUACAAUGGAAUAUUCCUCAGCCAUUAGAAACGACAAAUACCCACCAUUUGCUUCAACGUGGAUGGAACUGGAGGGUAUUAUGCUGAGUGAAGUAAGUCAAUUGGAGAAGGACAAACAGUGUAUGUUCUCAUUCAUUUGUGGAAUAUGAAUAAUAGUGAAGGGGAAUAUAAGGGAAGGGAGAAGAAAUGUGUG
Long non-coding RNA from Nyctereutes procyonoides (raccoon dog), 780 nucleotides. RefSeq lists it as uncharacterized. The transcript is spliced from 4 exons. The record is from RefSeq and is a predicted model, not a curated record. Lineage: Eukaryota; Metazoa; Chordata; Mammalia; Carnivora; Canidae.